UACGUAGGGACCGAGCGUUGUCCGGAUUCAUUGGGCGUAAAGAGCUCGUAGGCGGUUGCUCAAGUCGAAUGUGAAAACUCGAGGCUCAACCUCGAGCCUGCAUUCGAUACUGGGCGGCUAGAGUCUGGUAGGGGGAUCUGGAAUUCCUGGUGUAGCGGUGGAAUGCGCAGAUAUCAGGAGGAACACCGGUGGCGAAGGCGGGAUCCUGGGCCAGUACUGACGCUGAGGAGCGAAAGCGUGGGGAGCAAACAGG
RNAcentral lists this ribosomal RNA (253 nucleotides) under uncultured bacterium. RNAcentral's name for it is "partial 16S ribosomal RNA". It matches the Rfam family "Bacterial small subunit ribosomal RNA", at positions 524 to 776 of the family's 1533-position model. The record is from RNAcentral.